Molecule: long non-coding RNA, 2092 nt
Organism: Alligator mississippiensis (American alligator)
Lineage: Eukaryota; Metazoa; Chordata; Crocodylia; Alligatoridae
Exons: 3
Source: RefSeq, a predicted model, not a curated record
CAGUUGAAACAUAAUCCUAGAGGUAAUGCCAACUCCACUUCUUUACCAAGCUCUUCAUUUGAUCCCCGUUCCCUUUGCUACUACCAUAUGAACAAUAAAUCAAUCUUCUUUCCUGGUGAGAUUGUGACAUCAGAGGGAGGAACUUCUUGUGAUAUGGCAGAGCUUCUGUGCACAAGUUUAAUCCAAGUGCUGCUCCUGAAAUUGUUGUGAUGCACCUGGAAUAUAUUCAGUUCUGGGCAUCUCAUUACUGGAAAGAACUGACAAAUUGGAAGGACGGCAGAGAAGAGUUGCAAAAAUGAUUAGGAGCUGGUGUGCGUUAUUUAUGAGGAAAGAUGAAAAGAGCUUGAGAGCAAUGCAAGUAGAAGUAUGCAACUGAAACCAUGCAAUUGGAAAACAGACACUGAAGAAAGGAUGGAUAAAUAUAAGGCACAAAUCUACAAAGAACAAGAAUAUCCUUCAGCUGGCCACAGGGAAAACGAAGGGAACUGCUAGUGCAAAAGAAAUGAUUGCUUAAUAGCUGCUUACAGGGAGGACUUCUCUUGCCACAUGACUGCAGUUCUACCGCCAGGCAAAAGUUUCAAGGGGUCUUCUUUGGGCUGGUACAAAUAGGUCUAAGUCAUUUUCCUACAGCUGAAGAUCUGAGGAGAUUUACUCCCAUCAUUAGUGUGAGCCCAUGCAGAAGGAGGUACAGAACCAAGGCAGAGGCGAUGGAGGGUAAUUAGUGACCAUCUGACACUUCUGGUGACUUCUCAGAAGGCCGGCAGCGAAGAUCAUUUCUUGUCUCUAUAAAAGGUGUGGAUCAUUCUCCAUGCUCACCUUAUUUCUACCCUUGGGCUAGGACACAAAUCAUAAUAAUUAUCCCUCUGUUUUGGUCCCUCGCCCACAGUCACUGCAAUUAUUUCCUAAAACAUGGCAAUUAUUAAAAACACAGCAUAAACAGUAAACACUGCUGCUCUAGACGGCAGGAUAUCAAAGCUGGGGAACACAAAGGGAAGGGAACUCAGAACAGUAUGUAAACAGGAGUGACAGCCCCAAAUGCAGGGAAACACAAAGCCCUGUUAAUUACUGCUCCUGCUACAGCCUGGUAAUUUGCUGAUACCACUGCCUUCCAACUCAGUCUCUGUGAUCUGCCUGAAAAAUGUUGUGAUACUUAUAACCAGCCAGGAAGAGAAAGACAAUGGAGCUUGCCUUUCUUUCCUCCACCCCAGUUUUGUUUUAAUCUUGAAUCACAGAUGACACAAAGGUCAAGUAUAUUCUUUAUUGACUUGCACUCUAAUGCUUGAGAGUGCUUGGAGUUUUUUGAGGGGAUGGGUGGGAUACAAGAGGUCCCAGCAACACCAAAACCAGCAGAACCUCUUUAGAAGAAGAAUAAAAAUCUGCUUGACUAAUGAUUUGGCUAAUGCAGAAGGUGGAUGAACCAGUAUACCAAUGUGGUAGUCAAGUGAUCAGAGGCCUGCAAUGUAAUUUGACCAAAUACAUGGAUUCCAGACACAUUUGUGUGUCAGCCCAAGGAUUCUCUGACAUCUGGCUGGCUUGAAAUGAUUUUGCAUGAAAAAAUUGCUAUUUCUGGGUAUUCUUAACUGAAAAAAAUAGGCCUUUUUCCUAGAAAAUAAGAGUUUGUGAAACAAGUCUUUGAUGUUAUUGAUUUUUUUUUCAUUUUCUUAAAAAAUGUUGGCAACAUUAUUGACUGAUAUCUUAUCAACAUUUUCCCAGUAUUUAUCACAGUUUUUUUUUUUAAUUAUAGUGAGAUUAUCAUUUGUACAAAGGCUGGGUUUCAAUAAGAGUUUGAUUUGUUUUGAAUUGGGAAAAGAUUUUGAUCUGUAUAAAGAUGCCUGGAAAUUAGGUCCUCUUUUGAACCAGUUCACAGUGCACUGGCUUAAUAUUAAAUGUGGACACCAAAUGUUCUGUGACACAGGGCUGGUCAGUCCUCCAGGCAUCCCACACUGCAUCAUUUCUCACCCUCCUACACUGCUGCAGCUGGCCACUCUGAUAUGCAGCAACAACUCUACUGCCCAAUUUUUUUCCUUUUGUUGGCACUUUUUAUCAACACAUUGCUUGUUCAAUAAAAGCUAUCUUUCUAACAACCAGCUGU